Molecule: ribosomal RNA, 253 nt
Filed under: uncultured bacterium
Lineage: Bacteria
Description: partial 16S ribosomal RNA
Rfam family: Bacterial small subunit ribosomal RNA
Source: RNAcentral
UACAGAGGGUGCAAGCGUUAAUCGGAAUUACUGGGCGUAAAGCGUGCGUAGACGGUUAUGUAAGUCAGGUGUGAAAGCCCCGGGCUCAACCUGGGAAUUGCAUUUGAGACUGCAUAGCUAGGGUGCGGAAGAGGGAAGCGGAAUUUCCGGUGUAGCGGUGAAAUGCGUAGAUAUCGGAAGGAACAUCAGUGGCGAAAGCGGCUUCCUGGUCCAGCACCGACGUUCAGGCACGAAAGCGUGGGGAACAAACAGG